UUGCACCUUUUACACUCUCACCUAGUGCAGUGACGCCAUAACAACGGAGUAAGAAACUCAAAAGAUGAUGAAUCUCAAACAGUAGAAGAGCGGUCCAGAUCUGGAAUCCACUAGUACAAGCUAUCUUGAGUGGGAAAUAUAUCAAGCAUUUGUACAAAAGCUAAUGCUAUCAGUAGUACUUAGGGUGUGUUCGGUACAGAGGAAAAUAUUUUUCAAUUUUGUAAUAUUUUGUUGGUCAAAAUUUUUUAAAUUUUUUUUAUAGAAAAACAAGUUACUUAAGAAUGGGGAAAAUGACUUCCCUAAUGGAAGUAUGGAAAACAAGUUCAACAAGGGGCAUUCUACAUUGAUUAUUUGAUAGUUGUAACCCCCACCCUCCAACACACCUCAUCUUGACCGCCAUCCUCGUAGCCCCCUAUCCCCACCACUUCACACCCGUACCCUCACCCCAAUCUCCCAUAGUAUUUGAGUUAAUCAUAAUUAAUGCUUUUACAAUAAUACUUCUUAUGCUUUUACAAUAAUACUUCUUACUUACGUACCAAACACAAAAAAAAAGUAAGAAACCCAUUUAUUUUCUUGAAAAUUAUUUUUCACUAAAUACAUUUUCCUUUGUACCAAACACACCCUUACUUUAUGAAUGGCGCCAUUAGUAGUACCAUAUGUGGUCGUAGACCCUGUAUCAGUUUAAAAUAGAUUUUUUUUUUAAAAGAACAAAACAAAACCAACAAAAGAAAAUAAAGACAGACAAAAGUUUUGUUUCCUAAUCCUCAAAGAUAUCGAUCGAAUUUGCCCUAAAUAUUUUCCACUUUCUUGAAAUUUUCAACUCCGCCGGACCUUCUUCGGAGAACAAAUCAAGUGUGACAGAGAUGAAAAACCUCCCCAGAGGCGACAGAGCUAAACUCAUCGAUUUCCAGCGCUUAGAUCCACCUUCAAAGCUUGAAGGUUUGGCAAAACAAACAAGGGAGGAACGUCAAAAAACAUGGGAUGAUCAUAGUAGUCUUGCUUAGCUCCUUCCUUUGCACAGCAGAUUCUCUGUUCUUAAUCAUUCGACGUUGUCUCUUCUCCGUUAAUGCUUGAUCAUCAUAUGAUGACCUUCUUCUUCUUCUCCCACUGCUUGGUGGUUCACUAACAUCUGAUGCACUGUUGGGUAUUUCAUU
This is a long non-coding RNA of Lycium barbarum (goji berry), 1154 nucleotides long. RefSeq lists it as uncharacterized. The transcript has 3 exons. Lineage: Eukaryota; Viridiplantae; Streptophyta; Magnoliopsida; Solanales; Solanaceae. The record is from RefSeq and is a predicted model, not a curated record.